This is a long non-coding RNA of Lutra lutra (Eurasian river otter), 4443 nucleotides long. RefSeq lists it as uncharacterized. The transcript has 7 exons. The record is from RefSeq and is a predicted model, not a curated record. Lineage: Eukaryota; Metazoa; Chordata; Mammalia; Carnivora; Mustelidae.
UAAAACAGUUUCUGUGAUUUGUUGAUCCAGAUCAAGCACACACGGGGCACAACUGGUAAGAUGGGGAGGGGAACGGGUUUUCCCACAGAGAUGGGGUGACGCCAGCAGUGACCAUGGCUGCAAACUAGCACAAAACGGAGUGACACAGGACGACAGGGACACGAAGUCUAGGUGUGAUGUUUCCUCGAGAUGGUGAGACACCAGGGCAUGCUCUGGGUCCGAUGGGCUGCGUGGCAGAGGCCAGAGAGGUGCGGCUCCAUCCCCAGCCCUCUGUUCUGCCGCCGGAGAAAAGCAGCUUGCCAGCAGAAGGGCAAGAAUGAGCCGUCUGGCCGAGGCCCUGGGCAAACACAGACUUGACUAUUUUUAGGUCUUGAAGCGAAGUAACAUUCCCACACGCUGGCUGGAGAGUGUUCCUUAAACCCUUCCUCCAACUGCUCCUCAAAAGGCGCAGGUCACGCAAAGACGAGCCAGCUCCGCGGUCCCGGGGGGAGGCGGUCAGAUGAGCCCGGCCUAUUAAGUUACAAUUGCUUUAAAUACCCUUUAACUCAUGAGCAGCUCUCAAAUAGCACAUAAAAUGGGUGGAAAAGAGCACCUGAUGGCGGCUGACGUCACGGAAGCGCAGACUGUGCCGGUUUUGCGGAGUCCGCGUGUGAAACUGCCAGGGGUGGGCGCGCGGGCACAAGCACACCAGGGCCGUCCGCAGAAGAGAAGCCCCGGGUCGUGCGGUGGGAAGGAGUGGGCAGGGAGGAGCUGGAGGGAAACCCGCAGGAAACCUGCCUUUGCUCCCUGAGACCCGCCGGGGACCUCUUUAGCCGCAGGUGGAGGGCGGGCUCCGGCACACAGCCACAAGGAGUGGUCGGUUCACCUUGGAGCUGCUCUAAUCAGAAAUGUCCCCGGAGGCGUUAGAGGAGGAGGUCGGCGGGGGCACAAAUCUGGGGUGGGGGUGGAGGGUGUUUGCUGAAGCCUAACGGGGGCAGGCGGUUUCGGGGGUUGCUGAUUAGCAACCGCGCAACAGCCAUCCUGUGCUGCGGGUCUGCCCGCCCGCACCGGUUCGCAGAAGAGCAGACAUCGGAGUCCACUCCUAGAAACGGUUCCAGCAAUCUGACCACGUCCAGUUACCGAAACACAGGGCUUGUGUUUCGUCUUCGCGUGCAUUUUCAUUGGGUUUUUCUAGAAGUGAAUUUUUGUUGUAUUUUACCCAAAAAGUGUCCUUGUGUAGCAAAGUGAGAAACGGUCUUUGAGCUCAGCGACAGGGUUGUCAAGAAGCGUGACAGAUGUCCACAGCUCUCCAGGGGCAGCUGCCGCCUCCCCCACCCCCCACCGGUGUAAUGUAGUGUGAGAUCUACCCGCGGGGGAGAAUUCUGGGCCCCGACCUAAAAGGUGAGCUUCCAGAGACCUGGGACUUCACUGACCGUGCAGGAACCUGCUCAUAAACAGUGAGCAAGUCACACGGGAGACAUUGUGCUGGUACGGGCUGUGGGGAGGCUGGAGGGGCGGGAGGGAAACUUCUGGCCCUCACCCACCUCUUAUUAGGGGGAGCUCCUAACAUCUAGUACCACCAACUCAUUCUCUGUGAGUGACCAAAGAGGCCCUAGCCUGUCCCCUCGAGCUGAGAGGCUGACUGACCCGUUGGAGAGACGGUCAGAAGGCAGAGGAAUAGACAGCGGCCGGGAAAUGUCCCACCACCAGCUCGGGGCGAGGGGAAGAAACACUGAUUUGUAGGGUUGAUGAUCACCACGGUGGGAGUGCUCCCAUUCCAAUUGCCCACGGACGUUCCCGGGAAACGACAGAGGCUGCCCACCGAGACGGGUGCUCCCCCCCGCCCCCCGCUCUCCACCGGGCAGGGCAGCAGGCGCCAGGAAGCAGAAGAGCAUACGCUCCAUGAAGACAACCUCAAAACGCAGUCAAGUACGUCAUGAUGAGUUGGCCACAGUGGGAAGCAGGAGAGUGAAAGUGAGGAAAACCACCUGAUGUAGAAAAGGAGACCUGGCUGUGGGGAUCACUGAUCGGUACCAAAAUAGUAACACAUGACAUCACCACAGGGCGGGUACCGUUGCCAAACCCUGUUCUGCCGUAAGUGCAUCGAUUCAUCUAGUCCCAGCAAUUGCUCCUAUGAAAUGGAGCCUAUUAGUAUGCCUCUUCUCAGAUGCGAGCAACCCAGGCACAGAGAGCUCGAAAAGCAGCCCAAGACACUGGUGGGGCCAAACUCAGAAGGUCCAGCUGCAGAACCUACAUUCUCACCCGGCCGGCAGGUGCACCCUGGGUGGGCUUGAGCAGCCGUGGGUUCCCUUGCCUACUUUCCUCUGAAAUGACUCAAAAUGCUUAGCCACCGCAGUGAUGUUUCCUAGUUUUCUGUUUGUUUACAAAAUGUGAAUGAUUUUCCACCCCUGUGUUUACCAUCCUCAGUCUCCACACCCCAGAGUUGCCCCAUCCCCAUCUCUCCAGCCAAGCGGGGAGAGCAACCAGACACGCCGGCCAUUCCGUCGCUGCCCAGCUGACCAAAAGCCAUUCGGGCACUGGCUUACUCCAGUGGCGAACAGACAAAAUGCAAGAAGGCACAGCCCCCGAAGCAAAUGUCACUCCACUGCACACCUGGACAGGUCGCGUGUCCCUCACGUUAAUUCUCAACAGGACUGCAAACAACUGAGAUCGCUGCGAAAGCAAUUUAACCUUUUCAUGGGCUCUAGAACUGAAUGAUCAAAUACUUGCCCCCUUGCUCCAACUCACCACACCAGCCAGAGUGCCCCGUGCGGGUCUGUGCUUCCCGCGCAAGUCCUCUCUCUGGCAGAUCCUUACCCAUCCCUUCCUUCCGAGCAUCCUCCAACUCCAGGAAGUUAACUGCUCCCCGGAAAGAUGGCAGCCUGGUUGCUGAUGAGUAAGCAGUGACUUCAGGAAGGAAGCCUCCACUUAGCUCGGCCAUGUGCGUUCCUCGUCGAGGAUGUAGAUCGUGGGGAUACCUACCUCCUGCGGCGGUUGCGGGAGCGAGGGGAGGUAAGCCAUGCAAAGCAUCUCAAGUACAGCAGCGACCGUUCUGUCCGAAGCCAGGAGGGCAGUCAUGCAAGCCACACGCCUCCCGCACCAGGGGACUCUGGGCGUUACAUUUCAGACAUUUCCUCAUUUUGCCUGCAAGCCAAGGAGAAUUAUUUUCCAACACCAGAUCCAGAAAAUGCCUCCAGCAGAACAGAGGCUCUCCUCUACGGUGUCCAGUUGCCGUGAUGGAGUUGAAAAUGUAGACACAUUUCACUUUAAAAAGACGUGGGGGUGGGGAGGGUUGGGGUUUCGCACAGACACGCAGACUUCCUCUGUGCUCAUCAGCCGGACUGCUGUGGCCAAAGGGAGGAGUCGUGCCUGCCGUGGACGGUCCUGGACCCUGCCCCGAGCAGCCGGAAGGAACACAGGACUCUACCUGAUAAGACAGGACACCUAACUAGAAGGCACGUGAGGUUCAAAGGGCUCCCAGAGGAUUCCAGCACUACAGCACGGAGGCAAAAACCAGCAGCUGGAGGAUGGAGACGCGUCCGAGAGAGGCUCUUGGUUAUAGAUAGGAGAGAUCCCAGAUAGAAGAGAGGCCACGGAGGUUCAGCAGAUCUUAGCAGAACGGGACCGAGCCCAUGGCUCCUGGCUGUCAGCUCCGGGUUCACGUGCCCAUUAACUUCAGCUGCCCUGGACGAGCAGCAGCUUUGGAAAAACAAGAGUGUGGAGGUCGGGGGGCCGGUUCAGGGGGUGACAGAGAGGAGACCGCAGCUCCCCAUACUUUUCUAACCAGAGGUGAGCCAGCCUGAGGGAGCCACCUUUGAAAUCUCAUCUUCCAAGAUUCCUUAUUUGAGAAUGAGUGAGAGCAGGAGGAAGAGGGAAAAAGAAUCUGAAGCAGACUUCACUGAGCACAGAGCCCAAUAUGGAGCUAGAUCCCACCAUGGAGAGAUCAUGAACUGAGCUGAAACCAAGAGUUGGAUGUGCAAGCGACUGAACUCAUGGGGGUUGCAUGAUACAGAGUUUACCACCGUUUGCUGCUGUGCUACGAACCAAUACCAGUACCACAAACAGCAAGGACAUCUGUGUGUAAUGUAACACGUCACACAUCUUAGUCUAUCAGCUUGCAUCUUCCUGAUCUGAUGUAUCCAGUUCUAAUGAAGUCUGGUGGUUCAUUAGAUGAAAUGAUACGCAAAAUGGCCACUGAGUCAACACAAGUGCCUGCAUUUUCUACAUUGUCAGUAAUAAAUAAAUUUUGAUCAACCACUAGAAGAUUGGUUUACCUUUGAUCUCUGUAUGAAAAAUGAUAAAAAAUUAUUUUUCCAAGAGGUGAUCAAAGAGUGUGCAGCCAAAAAAAUGUUGGGAAAAAGUACAUUAACCAGUUAACAAAAAUGUCAUUUUUCUGGAUUAUGAUGGUUUGGGUUUGAUCAGCUUUACAAAUUUUGAACUAUGUAUUGAUUCCUUACUCUGAAG